UGGAGGACUGAGAAGGUUUAGCAGCUUGCUAUGUGAUGUUAUAACUGAUUAUAACCUCCUAAAUUAAAUUAAGGCAGAUGCAACAACUGGCUCCACGUGACACACGAGCUGAUGUGUUUGUGUACAGAUCUA
This 132-nucleotide small nucleolar RNA is filed under the name Hucho hucho (huchen). RNAcentral's name for it is "Small nucleolar RNA SNORA47 (ENSHHUG00000012676.1)". It matches the Rfam family "Small nucleolar RNA SNORA47". Lineage: Eukaryota; Metazoa; Chordata; Actinopteri; Salmoniformes; Salmonidae. The record is from Rfam by way of RNAcentral.